RNAcentral lists this ribosomal RNA (502 nucleotides) under Pseudobaikalia pulla. RNAcentral's name for it is "partial 16S ribosomal RNA". It matches the Rfam family "Bacterial large subunit ribosomal RNA", at positions 1816 to 2597 of the family's 2925-position model. The record is from RNAcentral. Lineage: Eukaryota; Metazoa; Mollusca; Gastropoda; Littorinimorpha; Baicaliidae.
CACUCUCUGUAAAACAUAGAGAGCCGAACCUGCCCAGUGAUCAGUGACAUGAUUUAACGGCCGCGGUACUCUAACCGUGCAAAGGUAGCAUAAUCAUUUGCUCUAUAAUUGAGGGCUUGUAUGAAUGGUUUGACAAGAACAAUACUGUCUCUUAAAAAUUUACUAAAAUUUGGUUUUUAGGUGAAGAAACCUAAAUAAAAUUGAAAGACAAGAAGACCCUAUCGAGCUUAAAAAAUACGUUAACUAUAUAGAAAAACUAAAACUAACGAAAAAAUUUGGUUGGGGCGACUGAGGAACAAAAAAAGCUUCCUUUUAUAUAAAAAACUUAUAUGUAUUGAUCCAAAAUAUUUGAUUAAAAAAAUUAGUUACCGUAGGGAUAACAGCAUAAUCUUUUUAGAGAGAACAUAUCGAAAAAAAGGUUUGUGACCUCGAUGUUGGACUAGGAUAUCCUAAUAGAUUGCAGAAGUCUUUAAAGGUUAGUCUGUUCGACUAAUAAAAUCCU